This 7499-nucleotide long non-coding RNA is filed under the name Malus domestica (apple). Its description in RNAcentral is "long non-coding RNA (MDOM_LNC011012)". The record is from RNAcentral. Lineage: Eukaryota; Viridiplantae; Streptophyta; Magnoliopsida; Rosales; Rosaceae.
CCCACUUCACAGCAGCCCCCCACAGCUCCAAAUUCUCCGUCCUUCUGCAACACCCACCUCCACUCUCCCCCUUCACCCCAACGCCGCCGCCCUUCUCAACCAACGUCAACGACUCAAGCUCUGAGAAUCCGUCCGAGAAUGAAAAGGCGUCAUUGGGUUUAAGCACCGCAGAGACGAAUGUGUAGACCAGAGCACAGGAAACCAAAACCACCAAGAGGAUGACGAAAGAGAAGUAAUGGGUGGCUUCUGGGUCAUUUUGCUUCUAACCCAUUUGAGAAUUGGGGGAGAAGAGUGAGACCUGGAAGGUGAUUUAGGGUAUGUGGUCUCGAUUAAGGGUAAAGAAUUGAGCUUGGAGAUUAUGGCGUUGACUUUGGAAAAAGAUUGAUCAUGGAGAGAAAUAGAGGAACACCAGAAUAGGGAACUGGGCAACUGAGUCAAUGCUCGCAUCCAAGACCUCGCUUAUUGCCAAAGGCUUCACCAUGGAAAAUGUCGGAAUGGGUGGUACAGAACCAGGGGAAGGAACCCUCAUGAGAUAAACUCUAUCAUUCUCCUUCACAGCCCUCUACAGUCGGCGUACUUGAAGAUCCUCUGGGCCCCACAUUGACAACCACAUCAAGCUCAACGUUGGCGGUAAGUACUUCGAGUUUCUUCUCGAGGCCUUAGUUCCUCCGCCAAGACUUGGUUUGGAAGUCGAGUCUACGGGUCCGCCCGAAGUCCGGACGCUAACUCCUUGCAGCUUCCCAGUCUCCUCAUCCAUCUUCAGCACCAGACCCCACUCGGCAGCCCUCUGCACGACGUCGUCGGACGGCUUGUCGUUUGCAUCGACAGAGGAGGAGGAGAUUGUCUGCUGAAUAUUGGACAGCGGAGAUGAGGUUGAGGAGUGGUGGGCCACGUCCUUGAGGGCCAUCCAUGAAGUUGUGAUGUCGGCGGCGCUGGUGGACUUGGAGGCGAGGUUGGGUAAUAGGUCGGGUUACGGGGUGGUGGCAAGUGGGUUUAUCUAGCUCUGCCACGUAUGCUGGGAACGAAAGGCCGAUGAACCGGUUGUAGUUUUUGUUGGUUUGGUAGCGGAAGAGAAGGUGGAGGGGUUGAAGACUUCGAGAGAGUCGCGGGAGUCUCUUGGGAAUGACGGGAUGAGGGAGGCGGGUGGCGUUGUGUCUGAGAAUUGUUCAUUUUCCAUCUCUUGCCCUCAAUAUAUGAUUGAGCUUCUGGUAUCUUUCUUUACAGACUGGAAAUUGGUUGGCAGCAGCUAAAACAACAAAGGCAGAAGCAUAAGUAGUAAUAGAUCUAGGAGCCCUUCAUCCGACCCGUAUAACUCAAUUAGCAAUGCUUCUUGUGUUUUUCUGUCGUACUAGAUAGAAAGUAAGAUUUCUAUAAUUUUGCACUGGGAAAGCUUUGGGUUGUUGGGUUUUUGCAGAUUCACGGCGGAGAUGAAAAAUUAAGAGAGAACCGACAUAGCUUUUUGUGUCGUUUCCCACAGAUGGCACCAAAUGUUGAUGCACAAAACCGGAGGAGUCUUGGAACAACAUAAAUCCGGCCAUGAAUCUGCAAGAAAGUAAAUAACACAAGAAGUAUCGUGGUUCACCCUAAUGUUUGGGUUACGUCCACACUGAUAUUGUAUUUCUUUGUUUGUGAGAGGAUUAUAAGGGAAAUGGAGCCUCUGAAGGUGAGAGAAUGAGAGCUUCUGAGGGUGAGAAAGCUCUCCCGAGUAUUUAUACGAGAUCUAAAUACGGAGGCCCUAAGUAUGGUACAAACAAUGCUUAAAGGUAUUUAGACAGCUUUUUUAAUUAAUUAUUAAACCCAUAUCAGCACAUAACAAAUUUUUUUACAUAAUUGUGGCAGAAGGAUCAUAUUGAUUUGCGACACCUAUUUUCAAGGACUACAUUGAUUGAUUUUCAAUUUUAGAAACCAUAUUGAUGGUGUGGGUCAAUUUUAGAUACCAUUUGUGAUAAAAACUCAUAAAUCUUGUGGGGCCAUUUAUGUGUCACAUCAACACUUAACGGAAUUUUUAACAGAAUGGUGACGAAAUGACCACAUGGAUUUGCGACACCUAUUUUCAGGGACUACAUUGAUUGAUUUUUAAUUUCAGGGAUCAUCUUGAUAGUGAGGGUUAAUUUCAGGGACCAUUUGUGAUAAUAACUCAAUUUUUUAUAUUUUUUAGAUCUUUCAAAAUCUCAACACCUAAAGAUGCUUCAAGCCACCUGAUUUAUGUUGUUCACUUGUUUGCUUACAAAUCCACUACAUUAAUAGGUUAUGUGUAAAUGUGAAGGUCAAAGUCUCACGUAGGUGAUGGACUAAACCAUGCAGUGGUUUAGAAUGAGUUGAACUACUACUUACAUUUCCAUUGGGUUUUAUAAAGAAACAUUAACUAUUUUAAUAGUAUUAGAGCGUAGGUUAGCCAACUACCACAUGUGUUCCACGUCAUUUAACUUGUGUUCUUCAUAUUUUUUAUUUAAAAAUUUAUCAAACGUGAAGAGAUGUGUGCGAAUGUGAAAAUGCAGUCUCUCAUUAGUGAUGUACAACACCUUACAAAAGAGAUUUAAACGACUGUUUUUCAGUCUUUGAAACUUUUAAGCAUAUUUGAUUUGAUAAAUUAAGUUUUGAGACACUUGGCAAUUCCAUAAGCCAUCCUUUCUUUUCUUGCCGAAAUAAAAAAAUAAAAUGUUAAUCUCAAUUUACUUUCAUAAAUUUUCUUGGCUUUUAACAUUUCAUAUAUCAAUUUUUUUUGUUCCAGUUUGAUACCUAAAUGUGUAAUUUUGAAACGCUUUCGCACAUCCGUUAAGUUUUUCAUCAGAUACUCUGUUAAGUGAUGACAUGACGCUCACGUGAUUAUUAAAAAUAAAAAAAAUAAUAAAAACUCACUCCUUCCACUCCUCUCUCCGCCUCCCUCAAAGCCCAUAAGCCCCUAACCAUAAUCUGGUCCUCCCAAUCCAAACCACCACCACCCAAGAAACGAGCCGCCGCCCACCACCACCCAACAACCAUAAUCUGCAAAUGAUAACAGGGGGCAGAAGAAGAAGAAGACUUGAAUUUUUUUUUGUUUUUUAAAUUAAUAGCUAAAGUUUUCUUAUUAAGCGAGCCACAACCUUUUUGAUUCAUAAAGAAAGAAGAGCUCCACUCUUUCCUUUCCUCUACCCCUCUAAUUGGCUAACCCCACCGCAAUGGUGUCAUGGGCCAUGGCUCUCGCUCUCAGCCCCAACUCCACCUGCCUUGCCUCCGAUUCCGUCGACCACGCCAUCAAGCUAUACAUGUUUCUAGGUCAAUAUCUUCCUCCCAUUUCUCUCGAUUUUGGUUUUUCAAUUUGUUUGAGUUUGUGUUUGAAACUAAUAUCAAUAAGCAAAAAUUAGAUCCCUAAUUCGAUUGCAGCAACCGAUCCAUGGUCUGAGCCAGAAUCCGACUCACUCCGAAAUCGGAGAUCUUGACCUAGUUCCUCGCGUUGAUCAGAAGAUUCGAGCGUUUGAUAUCGCGUUGGACGAUCUUCCGGCAGUGGAGGUAGGCGAGGCCGUUGAGAAUGGCCCAUGAGCAAAAGAGAGGACAGGCGAUGGUGGAGAAAUUGGGGGAGAAAAUAAAAAAAAAAUUUAAAAUUUUUUAAUAUUUACGUGAGCCAGAUUGACACAUUUCGUCUAGUUAUUAUCUAUAUGGUACCAUGUCAGUUAACGAAAAUUUUGACGGAAAAUUUAUGAAGUUCUAAAAUUAUGUAUCAAACUGGAUCGAAAAGAAUUUAAUGUAUGAAAUGUUAAAAAUCAAUAAACUUUAAGAUAGUAAUCUGAAAUUAACCAAAAAAAAAACAACCAAAUCCAGUUAAAAUGUAGCUUAGUCAGUGGAGAUGCACAGCUACUUCGAAGCGUUCAGACAAAACAUGAAAAUAGCAUAUUGAAUUCAAUUUAUACUAACAGUUGUUCCAAUUUAAUUCAUUUCGCUUUUCUUGUAAAGAUUCUUACUUUCUCAUUUUCUUUUGCAUGUUUGACGUUUCCCGUUAUAUAUGCAUUGAUUCUUCUUUAUAAGAAUAAGAAAAUAUCUGUAAAGAAGAAAAAGUGAAUACGAAGAUCACUUCCCGUUACUUAUGGCCCCGAUUCUGCGAAUGCUGGGCCGCAUCCCGCUGCAUAGCUUGAAUCAUAGACAAUGAUUGCUGCAGCCAUGCGAAUUCUCCUUUGAUUUCCCAGAGAAGACUGAAUUCUUGUUCGGCAAGUGAAGCCACCCUCGUCAGCUUCCCCUCGGCAGCAAAAGUAACAAGUUCUGCCAUCUUUCCUUACAAGCUGUUGAACGAAAAGAACACAGUGAAUAAUCUCAGUUCUGCGGCUGCCGGCACGUGGGUUGUCAGCAGAAGAGGUAGAGGAGCUGUCGGCUGGGCUGACGUCAGGAGGAGUGGCCCAGGCGCGGCUCAGAGGCGCCGAGCUGAGAGAGCUGGGGCGCUGUUCAGAGGAGUUGGGCUGGGGCGCUGGGCGGGGGCCAUGUCAGGAAAUGGACCAGCGGAAGAGGAGGAAGUGGGAACUGACACGGACCGCGCUGGCGCAGUGGGCUGGCAAGAGGAUGGCCCAGGCAGCAAGAAUUGAUCAUAAUGGAGCAUAAUGACAAUGAUACUGUUGACUCGCCACUGCUGAAAAUCUCAAAGCAUAUCAUAAAGACAGAAGUCCGCAACAAAAAAUACCGACAGAAAAAAUCAGAGCAUUGAGCAAUGGAAUUCCCAAAUCAAAGAACCACCAUCACCGUCAUCAUGAUCAGAGGGACGAUGAAGAAAGACAGAGUUACCCGCCACCGGGAACUACGCUGUCUCCCUUUGAUCAACCUCCACCUCCUCCAAGACCUUACCACUAUGGAGAGGAUCAACCUCCACCUCCUCCAAAACCUUACUACUAUCGAGACGAUCAACCUCCACCUCCUCCAAGGCCUUACUACUAUGGAGAGGAUCAACAUCCACCACCACCACCACCUUCCUGCUACAGAGAAGAUCAACCACCACCGAAUUCAUACUACGAAGCAGAUAGACCACCACCGAUCCGUGUGAGCCAUGUGUCCCACUCUUCCCAUGGUUAUGCACCUCCAAGUCCACCCUCCCAAUCCCAAGGGCUUCUCCACCACCAACCACCAGCGCCACCAGUACAGAAUUACGACUACCCAUCGUCACAAGCUACUCCAAGCCCACGGCCUGUUACCGUGCACCAUGUUGCUCAUCAAGUUCACCAUGAAUCCCCUGCUCCUCAGUUUGGAACUGAAACCCAUCACACCUCUCACUUGCCCUCUUCCUCUCCCCACAACUCUUACCUCUCGAACAAGCCCACUUUCAGAAUCUUCUCAAAGGCCGACCCCAAUUUAUCUCUCAGCAUCAGAGAGGGCAAGGUCAUUCUUGCCCGAUACCAACCAACCGAUGACUUCCAGGUCACUAGUCUCUUUCUCUCCGUCCCUCCAUUUGAUUUAUUAUUUCUCCUUGUGUGUGAAUGUUAUUGGAUUUGCUAAUUUCUGGAUUGGAUUGAUUGCAGCGGUGGUAUAAAGACGAGAAGUACAGCACACAAGUGAAGGACGAAGAGCGCUUCCCUUCCUUUGCUCUCAUCAACAAAGCCACUGGCCACGCCCUCAAGCAUUCCAUCGGAGCCACUCAGCCUGUAUGAUUCUUGUUUCCAAAACUUUAUAAUUUGCUGAAUGUUGUUGAAACUUGUCAAGAUUCGCCUUUUUUUAUGGUUCCAUGUAUUUUGUUUGCCAUUGCUAGUAGUAAUAUUGAAGGUCUAGCGGUUGUUUAAUAUGUCACCAUCAAUACCGCACUUGGACACUGUGUGGAAGGAAAUCUUCAGAAUUUCAAAGCCUUUCUCUUUUAAGUUUUUGUUUUUCCUGCCCAACAUUUUUGUCUUUAAUUGGUGUAUGCUUUGCUCUGUGUUUUAGACUUGUAAAAGUACCAAUUUCUAUGCCAAAAAAAAAGAAAUUUAUAAGUGGAAGAAAAAGUUUCUUCACAGUGCCUCCAGUCUUGUGCACAUGCAAAUUAUAUUUCUUGGAUUCUAAAAUCUUUCAUUGCUUGGUGUGGAGCCUAGAGAUGAUAUGAAUUUUAAACCAUCACUACUAAGUCUGUCUUGUUUCAUGUUGCAGGUGCAGCUGAGACCUUAUAAUCCAGAUGUUCUUGAUGAGUCUAUGCUGUGGACUGAGAGUGCGGACUUAGGUGACGGUUUCAGAACUGUUAGGAUGGUUAAUAACAUUCACCUUAAUGUGGAUGCUUUUCAUGGUGACAAGAAAUCUGGGGGUGUUCAUGAUGGCACUACCAUAGUCCUGUGGAAUAAAAAUAAAGGAGAUAACCAGAGAUGGAAGAUUGUACCUCACUGUAAGUUUUCUACAUAUAACUCGAAAAACCAAGCAAUUUCCUUGCAAAUUUUUCAUUAUGCUUACUUGCAUCUUUGGAUUGCUUAACGGUUUUCCCAAGCAAUGUUAUCUCUCAUUAAGUCAUAAGAUUCCUAGUAACUAAUUUCAUUCCCUUUUAAUGAUGCUAAAUGCAGGAUCCUUUUGCAGUAAUGCUGCCAUGAGUUAUUACAACAUCGCAUGCUUAAAAAGGUAUUAAGUUUGGAAGACUCCUCCUAGUUCUCAUGGUGAGGGAUUUGAGUUUGAUGUUUAUGAUGUUUGAAACUAUUGAUGUAUGAUUAAGUGUCAACUACUACAACUGUGGCUCAUACAUAUAAUGUGUUAGCGAAAGCAAAGAGUUGAUUAUGUAUUAUAAUCUAUCGAAAUAAUUAUCUACUGUUUUUGAACAACUUGUUGCAAUGCCUAAAUUUGUUCGCUGUCAUUAUUACUUGUUUCUUUACUUAGGAUGCUUUUAGUUACACCUCGAGGUACCAAUCAUAAAGGCAUAGGUUGAUGUAGCGUGUAAAAGAUAAGUAUUGAAUUCUUGAGGUGCGAUUGCACUUGAUUAUGGAUCAAGUGCAUGUGCUUGGGUUGCCUAAAUCUCUCCUAAACCAAUGGUUCCCAAGGUUCGGUUGAACCACCACAACCAAGGUCUUGUGACUGAAAGAGUUUCCGAGGAACUCAUGCAGACAGAUCAGUGAAGAUACAUGACUCGAGAUGUUAUUGAAAUUUGAUGCUUACCCAUUUAGGUUAGUAAAUUUUUAUAUUUAUGGUUUUAGACUCUGUUUCUUUGGAGGAUUUUAGAGAAGAAAGGAGUACGAAUAGCAUAUAUCCAAGCUAUACAGGAUAUGUAUGAAGGAGCAAAGACUGCCGUAAGAACUCAUGAAGGACAAACCGAAAGCUUUCCCAUAACUGUAGGAUUACAUCAAGGCUCAUCCUUAAGUCCUUACCUUUUUGCGUUGGUAAUGGAUGAGUUAACAGGACAUAUUCAAGAUGAUAUUUCUUGGUGUAUGCUUUUCGCAGACGAUAUAGUGUUGAUAGAUGAAACUCAGGAAGGGGUAAAUGCAAAGCUUAACCUUUGGAGAGAAGUGUUGGAAUCUAAAGGUCUUCGUCUAAGCCGAUCAAAGACAGAAUAUAUGGAGUGCAAGUUCAGUGCAAAUGGAGGCCAAAACGAGUUAGGGGUG